GCCACUUUAGCUCAGUUGGGUAGAGCGCAUCAUUCGUAAUGAUGAGGUCACGUGUUCGAUUCGCGUAAGUGGCA
RNAcentral lists this transfer RNA (74 nucleotides) under Candidatus Liberibacter solanacearum. Its description in RNAcentral is "tRNA-Thr". It matches the Rfam family "tRNA". From Rfam's summary of the family: Transfer RNA (tRNA) molecules are approximately 80 nucleotides in length. Their secondary structure includes four short double-helical elements and three loops (D, anti-codon, and T loops). Further hydrogen bonds mediate the characteristic L-shaped molecular structure. tRNAs have two regions of fundamental functional importance: the anti-codon, which is responsible for specific mRNA codon recognition, and the 3' end, to which the tRNAs corresponding amino acid is attached (by aminoacyl-tRNA synthetases). tRNAs cope with the degeneracy of the genetic code in two manners: having more than one tRNA (with a specific anti-codon) for a particular amino acid; and 'wobble' base-pairing, i.e. permitting non-standard base-pairing at the 3rd anti-codon position. The record is from RNAcentral. Lineage: Bacteria; Pseudomonadati; Pseudomonadota; Alphaproteobacteria; Hyphomicrobiales; Rhizobiaceae.